GGAUUAAGAUUUCUAUGUUCCUAAGGCUGAGCCACUUUGGACUGCACGUUUCAGGUUUAGGGGAAAGCCAAGUCAGAAUUCAAACGUCUUCUUCAGGCUUCUCCUGUAUUUGGCAGGUGACUGAAGAGAUAUGGCCUGAUGCCAGGAAAUCCUCGCUCUCAGAUGUUAGCGCUUUCCUCUGCACCCCCUCACCCCACCUUUACACAUCUUCUUCUUUUUCUCUAUUUCAGGUCUCAGGCUGGGCAGGGGUGGGAUGGCUAACCCUUCUGUUUAUGUUCUUAACACUCUCCUCCAUAAUUUGAGACUUUGUCCCAUUUUUACCUUCAUUUGUCCUCUCUGCACUGGUCUUCCCUUUGGACUAUAGGUCCCUAAAGUCUGCCCCCGCCUAAACCACCACCACAAACAGAAAUUCCAUCACCCUGCUUUUCCCCUUCACGCUGCAUCUCUCUCUUCCCAGUGAUCUACCCCAGCCUGCCAUCGGAUUUACCUUCCUCAUAUCCCACUCCAUCAUUCAACUCCACUGCUCCAAAGGGCUUCCCCGUUACAUGAGGUCCACACUCCGAAGCCUGGCUCAGGCCCUCUGAGACCUUCUCAGAAAGACCUACAGACUGAAAUGGGAAGCCAGUGAGGAGAAUGCUGGACAGAUAUUUCCAGGCUCCAAAGCUGAAGGAAAAGUGAAAGCUGAGCAGAGGUCUGUUCAGGUCUGCAUGUCCACAGAAAGUGGCUUCCAAGGCUUCAUCUUCACUACUGACAACACCUGCGCUCCAGGCCUCAGCUGCCUGCUCAGCAUCCCCACAGAGUUCCUCCUGCCCCCGCAAAUGCAGCGUGCCUCAGAUUAAACUCAUCACAGACUCCUUCUGUAACAUUUAUCUCUUUAAUGCUGCAACUCUCAUUCCAGAGUUUCAGGCUAGAACCCUCAAUUGCUUUUCCUCUUUUCUUUUUCUUUUUGCACGUAA
Equus quagga is the source of this 956-nucleotide long non-coding RNA. RefSeq lists it as uncharacterized. NCBI's taxonomy places the organism in Eukaryota, Metazoa, Chordata, Mammalia, Perissodactyla, Equidae. The transcript is spliced from 3 exons. The record is from RefSeq and is a predicted model, not a curated record.